RNAcentral lists this ribosomal RNA (397 nucleotides) under uncultured bacterium. RNAcentral's name for it is "partial 16S ribosomal RNA". It matches the Rfam family "Bacterial small subunit ribosomal RNA", at positions 523 to 918 of the family's 1533-position model. The record is from RNAcentral.
AUACGUAGGGGGCGAGCGUUGUCCGGAAUGAUUGGGCGUAAAGGGCGCGUAGGCGGCCCGGUAAGUCUGGAGUGAAAGUCCUGUUUUUAAGAUGGGAAUUGCUUUGGAUACUGUCGGGCUUGAGUGCAGGAGAGGUAAGUGGAAUUCCCAGUGUAGCGGUGAAAUGCGUAGAGAUUGGGAGGAACACCAGUGGCGGAGGCGACUUACUGGACUGUAACUGACGCUGAGGCGCGAAAGUGUGGGGAGCAAACAGGAUUAGAUACCCUGGUAGUCCACACUGUAAACGAUGAAUGCUAGGUGUAGGGGGUAUCGACCCCUUCUGUGCCGCAGUCAACACAAUAAGCAUUCCGCCUGGGGAGUACGGCCGCAAGGUUGAAACUCAAAUGAAUUGACGGGG